This 102-nucleotide microRNA precursor is filed under the name Marmota monax (woodchuck). The record is from RNAcentral. Lineage: Eukaryota; Metazoa; Chordata; Mammalia; Rodentia; Sciuridae.
UGCACAAUUAUUGAGUCAUAUGGUAAGUGCAUGCAAUUUUACAAGAAACUUCCAAACUAUUUUCCAGAGUGGUUUUACCAUCUUAAAAUUUCUACCAAUAAU